Long non-coding RNA from Rhipicephalus microplus (southern cattle tick), 539 nucleotides. RefSeq lists it as uncharacterized. The record is from RefSeq and is a predicted model, not a curated record. NCBI's taxonomy places the organism in Eukaryota, Metazoa, Arthropoda, Arachnida, Ixodida, Ixodidae.
GCUGCGCCGGGGUGCCACAAAUAUGGGCGCGCCGCUAUCUCUCAUCCUCUCAUCGUUCUCCUGGAUCGUAGCCGUUGACGUCAGAUCGCGCUUGGUGGCUCGAGAGGCUGCCACCAAGCGAGCGCGGCGCCGGGCGGAUCCUGAGACGGUGCGCGCCAAGGAAGCCACUGCGAAAUAGGCUCAACGAGAAGCGGACCCUGGAAUGCGGUAAACGGCAGCGAAACGCGCGUGGCACCGGGUGGACCCAUAUGCUGCUCCUCGAAGGAUUCACGGCAAUCAACGGACCUGGCGUGUCAACGACGGGCGAUAAUCAAACCCCUCCUUUAGGGGCGUUGACACGGGAGAACAAUGACUGUACACAGCUGGAUUUUACGCCGCCGAGAGAACCCUCUUGCUAAACCGGUUCGCUGCAGCGCUCAAGGAUACGCGCUGACGAGCAGACAUAUAGCUUCUUGCCUCCUUGUAUACCCCAAAUAUUAGAUGUGAUGUUUUCUCCGUGCACCUGAUCGAUAAACAAAGAACGCCUUCACAAAAAACUA